Molecule: transfer RNA, 72 nt
Organism: Coccomyxa subellipsoidea C-169
Lineage: Eukaryota; Viridiplantae; Chlorophyta; Trebouxiophyceae; Coccomyxaceae
Rfam family: tRNA
About the family: Transfer RNA (tRNA) molecules are approximately 80 nucleotides in length.
Source: Rfam
GGCGCUGUAGUGUAGUGGUUAUCACAUUGGACUCUGAAUCCAAUAACCCCAGUUCGACUCUGGGCAGUGCCU